CGGGGUAUGGUGAAAUUGGUAAACGCAGUAGACUUAAAAUCUACCGACUGUAACAGUCUUGUCGGUUCGAAUCCGACUACCCCGACCA
This 88-nucleotide transfer RNA is filed under the name Acidobacteriota bacterium. RNAcentral's name for it is "Acidobacteria bacterium tRNA-Leu". It matches the Rfam family "tRNA". Rfam says of the family: Transfer RNA (tRNA) molecules are approximately 80 nucleotides in length. Lineage: Bacteria; Pseudomonadati; Acidobacteriota. The record is from RNAcentral.